AGUAAGGCAUUGCCCUUUCUGAUAGUUCUGACGUUCAGUUGGAAAUCUCUGUUGGGAUCAGAAGAAAUCUCAACUGGGAAGAGAAGGGGACGCUAUGAUGGAAGACGUUGGACAGAAUCCACUGGAUGAUGUGUAGCAGACGAUAUAAUUACCAGCAUUAGAAGCUGUAAAACAGAACCUUGACUGCCUGAAUUCAGACCUUGAAAAGGACCUGCAGAAACUGGAUAUGGAGAAUCAGGUUCUCCUUAGAAAGAUUAAAGAGAAAGAAGAAACUAUUUCAAGGAGAAAAGUAACGCAAUCCUAAGCAGGAAUGUGGUGGAGGUUCAGAAAAAGAUUUCAGGGUUAUUUACAAAUAUUGGCCUUGAAGAAGAAACCACAAAGCAGAUCCUGGAGGAAAUGAAGGCAAGACUACAGAAGUCAACAGAGUCCUGUGCAAAGCAAGAGGAGGAACUGGCCAAGGCAGAGGCAAUGUCUCUUCCACUGAGGGUCUGCCCGGGAUAGAAUGGGAGAGAAUCCCAAGGGUCUUAGAAACAGAUCUGCUUGAGGCAUAGGAGGGGGAGAAAUACCAGGAAGUUCUGAGGAAGAUGAAAGAGGAAAAGGAGACGCUGCUUCUUGAAAAACAAAUAUCCAAAGCCCAGGAUGACUCCUCUCAAACAGUGAAACCGGGAUCAAUUUUGGCAGACACCACCCAAAGAAACAUGGAGAGGACCACCAUUAAGAAACAGGAGAGAAGGUGUUGGUACAAGUAAGCGGAAGAAUCUUGCUUUUACCUAGCCUAGACCACAUUUCACUCUACACAUUACCUGAUAAGGGCCAAAAGAACAAGAAUAAACACAUCAUCCACUGAUCAGAAUACA
Molecule: long non-coding RNA, 857 nt
Filed under: Homo sapiens (human)
Lineage: Eukaryota; Metazoa; Chordata; Mammalia; Primates; Hominidae
Description: non-protein coding lnc-FMN1-2:6
Source: RNAcentral